This 107-nucleotide small nuclear RNA is filed under the name Chinchilla lanigera (long-tailed chinchilla). The record is from RNAcentral. Lineage: Eukaryota; Metazoa; Chordata; Mammalia; Rodentia; Chinchillidae.
GUGCUCACUUCGACAGCACAUAUAAUAAAAUUGGAACGAUACAGAGAAGAUUAGCAUAGGCCCUGCACGAGGAUGACAUACAAAUCUGUGAAGCAUUCCAUAUUUUU